GAUGAACGCUGGCGGCGUGCCUAAUACAUGCAAGUCGAGCGAACGGACGAGAAGCUUGCUUCUCUGAUGUUAGCGGCGGACGGGUGAGUAACACGUGGAUAACCUACCUAUAAGACUGGGAUAACUUCGGGAAGCCGGAGCUAAUACCGGAUAAUAUUUUGAACCGCAUGGUUCAAAAGUGAAAGACGGUCUUGCUGUCACUUAUAGAUGGAUCCGCGCUGCAUUAGCUAGUUGGUAAGGUAACGGCUUACCAAGGCAACGAUGCAUAGCCGACCUGAGAGGGUGCUCGGCAACAGUGAAACUGAGACAGGCCCCAGACUCCUAGGGGGGGCAGAAGGAGGGAACUUUCGGAAAGGGGGGAAGCCCUGACGGAGCAACGCGGGGGGAGUAAUGAGGGUCUCGGGAUCGAAAAACUCUUUUAUGGGGGAAAAACAAAUGUGAAAUUACAUUUGCACUUCUUGAGGGUACUAAAUAAAAAAGCCAGGGCAAACUCCGGC
This 497-nucleotide ribosomal RNA is filed under the name uncultured bacterium. Its description in RNAcentral is "partial 16S ribosomal RNA". It matches the Rfam family "Bacterial small subunit ribosomal RNA", at positions 28 to 508 of the family's 1533-position model. The record is from RNAcentral.